RNA transcript from Nymphaea colorata (pocket water lily), 4684 nucleotides. It is a transcript of the gene named pentatricopeptide repeat-containing protein PNM1, mitochondrial-like, with no coding region annotated. The transcript is spliced from 4 exons. The record is from RefSeq and is a predicted model, not a curated record. Lineage: Eukaryota; Viridiplantae; Streptophyta; Magnoliopsida; Nymphaeales; Nymphaeaceae.
AUGUCUUUUUCAUUAUUUCCAACCCUUUUUUCUUUUCGCCCGUUAGGGCUUUCGACUCUGCACAUCCAGAAUCUCCCUCCCCAACAUCCGGCGACGGCGCCCCCUGCAGCCGGCCUCCGUCCACCGGCGUUUUCCUCCUCCCUCAGGGUGUGGCCUCUCUCUCUCUCUUUCAGUGCACCGGAGGACGGUGAAUCGUGGGAAGAUCGACGGGUUUGGGGAUUACUGCAGUGGCCAUCACACGGACCUUUGCAGACGAGAUGCAGCAGCCCCCACUCCAGAAAGCUGCACUCCGACUCUGGCACCUACUCAACCAGCGGCCGGUGGUUGUAUCUCAGACGUUCCGUUUGUUUUCCACCGCUCAAUCAAUUGCUGAUGAGCUUCUUAAGCCUGAUGAGACACCGGAACCCUUGGAGGAGCGGCUUGAUGCGUUAAAUGCUGCCCUCGACCACCAAAUGUUUGUAGACACCCUCAACCUCUCCAAUGGAGCUGGGCGGAAGGUUUUUGGGCUCUAUGAAUGGGCGGCAAAGCGGCCAGGAUUCUUGGAUGAGGUAUCCUUUGCAGCAGUAGCGGAUUUCCUUGGUCGUCGAAAAGACUUUAAGGCAGUGCGCGUCCUCCUACUUGAUCGUACCAUCCGCCGCUUUCCCAUCGGGAUGCGCACAUUCCGCAUUGUAGUUGACCGCCUUGCUCGUGCUGGUCGGCCAACACAGCUCAUUGACUUCUUCCAUGAGAUUGACAUAUUUGGGUUUGACAUCGACCGCCGAGAGGGCCUUUCAGUUGUUGUAUCGGCUCUUUGUGAUCAUGGAUUUGUCGGGCAUGCAGAGUCCCUUGUGAAGAAGACAGCUGAUCGGCUGUUCCCUGACGAUGCCAUCUGUGAGACCCUCGUGAAAGGCUGGUGCACAGCUGGGAAGCUUGUUGAGGCCAGACGACUCGCUGGAGAGGUUGCUCGUGGAGGUUUUGAGCUAGGUGCUGUGGCAUAUAAUGCCAUCCUCGACUGUGUGUGCAAGCUAUGCCGCCAAAAGGAUCCAUUCCAGCUACGUGCAGAGGCAGACACGGUGCUUGUGGAGAUGGAGACUGCUGGGGUUCCUCGAGACUCGGGUACUUUCCAAAUCCUAAUCUCAAACCUCUGCAAGAUCCGCAAGACGCAAGAUGCCUUGGAGAUCUUCAAAAGGAUGCCGGAGUGGUCAUGCUUGCCAGAUUCUGAUACGUUCCUCGCCCUUGUAAAGAGCCUCUACCAGGCAGCAAGGGUUGCAGAGGGAGACGAGAUGCUAGACUCCAUGAAAUUGGCGGGGUUUCAGUUGACUAUCAAAGACUACUAUGGCUUCAUCCGUAUUUUGUGUGGCAUCGAGCGUGUGGAGCAUGCAAUGAAUGUAUUUGCAAGGAUGAAAGAGGAGGGAUUCAAGCCAGGCACACAAACGUAUGAGCUCUUGAUUGCGAGAUUGUAUGCCCACGGGAAGGUGGAGGCAGCAAAUUCUCUGUACCAAGAAGCAGUGGACAAAGGGGUGACAAUCAACAAUCGGGAGUAUAAAAUUGAACCAAGGUUUGUGAAGGAAGAGAAAAAGAAGAAGAAGAAAGCAAAGAGGGAAACUUUGCCGAUGAAAAUGGAGAGAAAGAGGAAGCGGCUGAGGAAGCUGAGAUUGAGCUUCGUCAAGAAACCCAAGAAGUUCAUGCGACGGGCUUAUUGAUGCAGCUUGGAAGUUGGUGUUACUUUUUGAAAUCCAUGGCAUCAAACUGCUUCUUUGUUGUGGGUUCUUCCGACACUCAUUUUGUUGUGUUAAAGAUUCUCAAUUGGAGAUAGUUUCAUGUCAAUGCCAAGAAAGAGCCACUGAAAGCAAUGAAAAAGUAAAGGGUCUUGAUUGUGCUCGAGGACAAGUUUAUGGUUGGUCUCUGACUCGUCACCCUUUAUCAGAGGACUUGAAUUCUGUGAUAGUUUCCUGAUCAGACAGAGAUGAUUAACACUGAUAAAAAAAUUGAAUCUGCAAAUUGAUUACUAUAACAAAAAUGACAUUUACCAAUGUGGAUUGUGUUACUAAAUGCCGUUACUAACAGUCUGCAUUGCAGUGCUGCCGGAAGCCACAUUACUGAAACUUUUAUUCUGCUACUAACAAAAUGCUUCUGUGUUACUAUUGAUAAUAGUGCAUUUCCUGUGUGUAACCCAGGCCUUGAUGUGAUCAGGAUGUCACAACCACAAGUAAGAUCAAAGCCCCAAUCUUUGUACCAGCAAGCAAAGGUCUUUAUUGAGCAUAUUUUGCAACUGUAUACUCUUUCUUUCCUUAGCAGCCAAAAAACUACAAGUGAAUACUUAUGGAUGGCAUCAUGUAUCCAAUAUUAAGAACUUGUAACCAGUAUGCACACUUGAGUAAUUUUCCUCAGAAGCAAUGACCUAAAUGUGUCCCUCUUCUGAAAUCGUCUUUAUUAAAUAUUCACAGUACUUCAUUUGCUGCAUCUUCCCACCUAGAAAUUGCAAUUUAAGCUACAUAGUGCUACAAAGAAGAUACUAAUCCUUCAUAAAGGACACUGUACCUUGACGAUUAACUGCAAUAUUGAACACUUCUAACAUGAGUAAGCUCAUUGCAGAAUGGUGCAUGUGUUUUUUGCACUUUGGCAGCUGCAUAAUCAUUUCAAAGGCUUCGACAAGCAGUGCUACUUUCUUUUCUGUAGCAGGAGCCAACUUUGGAUGAGUUUCAUCCUCUACAAUGUUAAAUUGGAUGAAUUUGAUUUCCUGUUGCAUAAGGUUGUCAUCUUCUGUGAUUGUUUCAUCCUUUGCUUCAGGGACCAAGAGUGGAGAGGGAUAGUUUUCUGCUUCAAGAAGUUAACUAGGAUGUUCAAUACGAACCAAAGUGAAGGUGCCGAAUUAUAAAGCAACAGUUGAGCGUGUGCUACAGGGGACCAACUUGCUGUUAGGUGUCAAUCGAACGUCGGGGAGAGAGAGAGAGAGAGAGCAGUUGCAUCACAAUUGAAUGCAAAAAUAGUUCCAAGAAAUUGCAAUUAAAUUACAAGCAGGAUGAAAAACAAAUAACACAAGCAAAUAACACUGCUAAGUAGAGUUUAGUAUAUCAUGGUAAUAACUGGACAUUCUAGCUGAAGAUGCUAAUUGCAGCAUAUGUAUAUAGACAUAUAUAUGUGUGUGUGUACGAUUUAUGCUUUCUGACUUCAGCUGAUCAGCAGGCAGUUGGUCAGCCAAUCUGGGCUGUCUGAUUGCCUAUGAAACAUGGGUACGGCUAAAAAGGCCAAGUACUCGUGUCGACACGAUUGUGGGCUUCGACAUGGCAGCCUUAAUUUUUUUUUUUUUUGGGGUAUAUUUUAGUAUGUUUGUACCUUUUGCAUAUAUUUUAGUAUUUUUUUUUGUUCAGUGAUAUAUUUUCAUAAAUAUACGCAAUGAAUUUAUGUGUACCUGCUGCACCCAUACCUAUGUGGCAUGGCUGAUCGUCCUUUUAAGAGAGAUUGAAAGAGUUUAUGUAUAUGUCUUUGUGUGUGUGUGUGCAGAGGGGGGGGGGGGAGAGAGAUUUCUUUUACAGGUACUUAGUAUUUAGGUAUAUCAAGUGGCUGCUAAAGUAUACAUGUAUGUCAUUACAGCUUAAUUAUUGAUGAUGUGUGUGUAAUCUUCUACUGAUUUCCACCAGCUUUAUUGAGAAAAAGAAUGUCUUAGACGUGUGUAACCCCAAGGAUGUUAUAAUCAUGGGAUCACUAAGAAAGCUGUACUGCUUGCCUAUGUAACCUGGAGUUUUGUGGCCCAUGCCAACCGGUUCAUUCUUCCACCAUAUUGUUGCAUGUCUACUGGACCUGGAACUUGAAACAUAUAAUAGUCUUGAAAGCCAGUUGUGCAACUAGUUAUUAUUCUCAUCACUCAUUGUCUGAUCAGCUUUCUCUUUGCAGAACACUGAUGCAGAAGAGACAUGCACAUGAACAUACUUGUGUGCUUAAAUAUUACCUAUAUAUUACUUGUUUUGAGUGUUUUAUCAACUUUAUCUCGCCGGGACUUAUUCAGGCUGUGUAGCGUUAGAUGGAGACCAGACAAAUGUCCAAGCAUUCAAGAGAUUAUUCUUGUUGCACAGUCUGGUAAGCUUUCUCUUUGCUGAACAUUGAUGGCAGAAGACAUGCACGGAACAUACUCUUGUGGUCAUAUAUUGCUUAUUUUUUAAUUGAGAGUGCAAUCCUUUUGUAAUUUGAUCCUCCUUUUCUGCUGUUUGUAGUUUGUACGGAGAUCAAGCAAUGGUUGGUGUUGCGGAUGCUUUUCUCGCUUAUGGUUUUGGCAAGGAAAUUUUUAUUUCCACUCAAAACUUUUCCUAUUCACUUUCAACUGGAAAUUUUUCUGCAAUGUGUUUGCAGAAAAUCCUUUUCCAGGCCAUCAAGCGGCCUUUACCAAGUCAUGGACUUGCUCGGGUUGUGCAGUUCAGGAAGGUAUCGCCGUUUUCAGCCCAUUAGCAGCGACUUGGUGUUCUUCCAUUUUCAGCAUAUCAGCAACUUGAUGUCGCCAUUUUCAGCCCAUUUGCAGUUAAUGGCCAAAUGUCUAGGGCACUGUUGCUUGUAGUGUUACAUAUUGGAGGAGCAUAUCACAUGAAUAUCAAAAUAUGCUAUUGCUUGUAAGUGCUUGGCUAGGAUGUAGAAGUAUAUGAAGAUACAUAAUUUUAAGAAACGGGAACCGUGGGAAGAUGUUCCCUUCAUUAUAGUCGGUUUAUCAAAUGUU